UACGAAGGGUGCAAGCGUUACUCGGAAUUACUGGGCGUAAAGCGUGCGUAGGUGGUUGUUUAAGUCUGUUGUGAAAGCCCUGGGCUCAACCUGGGAACUGCAGUGGAAACUGGACAACUAGAGUGUGGUAGAGGGUAGCGGAAUUCCCGGUGUAGCAGUGAAAUGCGCAGAUAUCAGGAAGAACACCCGUGGCGAAGGCGGCUCUCUGGAACGCAACUGACGCUGAGACGCGAAAGCGUGGGGAGCGAACAGG
Molecule: ribosomal RNA, 253 nt
Filed under: uncultured bacterium
Lineage: Bacteria
Description: partial 16S ribosomal RNA
Rfam family: Bacterial small subunit ribosomal RNA
Source: RNAcentral